CAACCAUUUCCAAAAAAGUUUCCUUUCUCUGAAUUUGUGCCAAAAGUUUACAACCAAAUUAAAGAAUUUAUCUACGCUUGUCUGAAGUUUUCAGAAGAUCUUCAUCUAAGCUCAACUGAAGUUGAUGACAUGAUUCGUAAAUCAACAAACCUGUUGCUAACCAGGACUCUGAGCAACUCUCUGCAGAAUGUCAUUAAAAGGAAGAAUAUUGGGCUUACUGAGGAUGCUAGACAUGCAGCUGAAGAAGAGAUUUAUACCAACUUAAACCAGAAGAUUGACCAGUUCCUACAGCUGGCAGACUAUGACUGGAUGACCGGAGAUUUGGGCAACAAAGCUAGUGAUUACCUGGUAGACCUCAUUGCCUUUCUUCGUAGCACCUUUGCUGUAUUCACACACCUUCCUGGAAAGGUGGCCCAGACAGCGUGUAUGUCAGCUUGCAAGCAUUUAGCCACAUCCUUGAUGCA
This 464-nucleotide small RNA is filed under the name Pan troglodytes (chimpanzee). Its description in RNAcentral is "processed transcript". Lineage: Eukaryota; Metazoa; Chordata; Mammalia; Primates; Hominidae. The record is from RNAcentral.